GCACAAGCAGGGAACCACAUUUGAUCCCCCAGGAACAGCCUGGAAUCAGCAGCUGCCCCGUGCAGACUCCAGGGCUGCCACCCACGGAGGGACAGAGCCCAGAGCCACACAGGCUCAGCUUUGGAGGGAGAGCUGGCUUCACAGAGUAGCUGAAAGAAGGCAGAGAACAAACACCACCAGUUCCCCUCACUGUCAUCAACACUGAAGUACUUUGCUGAAGCAAAAUGUCAAGAAGCUGGGACUGGACAUUUAAAGACUUAAAAGUUACUGAAUUUUCUGCCCAGUUUGGUGUGGGAAAAGAUGCAGAAGAUAAUGCUGGUGUCUUACGCGUUCUCAAGAGCUCAAUAAGAGAUGGAAAACCUCCAGAAACACAAAUCCAAAAUGGU
Molecule: long non-coding RNA, 386 nt
Organism: Motacilla alba alba
Lineage: Eukaryota; Metazoa; Chordata; Aves; Passeriformes; Motacillidae
Exons: 3
Source: RefSeq, a predicted model, not a curated record